UACGUAGGGUGCGAGCGUUGUCCGGAAUUAUUGGGCGUAAAGAGUUCGUAGGCGGUUUGUCGCGUCUGCUGUGAAAACCUAAGGCUCAACCUUGGGCUUGCAGUGGGUACGGGCAGACUAGAGUGCGGUAGGGGUGACUGGAAUUCCUGGUGUAGCGGUGGAAUGCGCAGAUAUCAGGAGGAACACCGAUGGCGAAGGCAGGUCACUGGGCCGCAACUGACGCUGAGGAGCGAAAGCAUGGGGAGCGAACAGG
Molecule: ribosomal RNA, 253 nt
Filed under: uncultured bacterium
Lineage: Bacteria
Description: partial 16S ribosomal RNA
Rfam family: Bacterial small subunit ribosomal RNA
Source: RNAcentral